This 253-nucleotide ribosomal RNA is filed under the name uncultured bacterium. RNAcentral's name for it is "partial 16S ribosomal RNA". It matches the Rfam family "Bacterial small subunit ribosomal RNA", at positions 524 to 776 of the family's 1533-position model. The record is from RNAcentral.
UACGGAGGGUGCGAGCGUUAAUCGGAAUUACUGGGCGUAAAGCGCGCGUAGGCGGCUUGGUCAGUCGGAUGUGAAAGCCCCGGGCUUAACCUGGGAAUUGCAUUCGAUACUGCCGAACUAGAGUAUGGGAGAGGGAAGUGGAAUUUCCGGUGUAGCGGUGAAAUGCGUAGAUAUCGGAAGGAACACCAGUGGCGAAGGCGACUUCCUGGCCCAAUACUGACGCUGAGGUGCGAAAGCGUGGGUAGCGAACAGG